GCCAGGAACAGUGGUGCAUGCCUGUAAUCCCAGCUACUCAGUACUCAGGAGGCUGAGACAGGAGGAUCGAAAGUUGAAGGUCAGCCUCAGUAACUUAGCGAGACCCUGUCUCAC
Molecule: small RNA, 114 nt
Filed under: Marmota monax (woodchuck)
Lineage: Eukaryota; Metazoa; Chordata; Mammalia; Rodentia; Sciuridae
Source: RNAcentral